Non-coding RNA from Myodes glareolus (Bank vole), 3421 nucleotides. The record is from RefSeq and is a predicted model, not a curated record. Lineage: Eukaryota; Metazoa; Chordata; Mammalia; Rodentia; Cricetidae.
GACAUGCAAAUUACUGCUGGGGAUUAGAGGAAACCUGCGCACAGCCUUUGGUUCAUGUUAAUCCCUUUUAGAUGAUAGGGAAGUCUAGACCACCCGUUCGCUGCCCAGUUAGAGUUGGCCCUAGGGCUCCAUCCUUCUCCUUUGCUUCCCCGCCUUCUUCAUCCUGGAGUUUAGGGAGCAGGUAAGCUCUCGGUAGACCAGCCAACCCUUUGGCCUAUAGAAUGUCUCGUAUCCAGUAUACUCCUCAGAAACUAGCUUUCUGUUCGCUCUGAGAGAGUUUUUGUCUUUGCAAAGGAUGUGGCUUUUUCAGCUUCCACUGGUCCAGGAGCCUUGGAACCCUGCCAGGACCUGCAAGCCCACACCCCUUCUCACCCAGGUCAAGUGACAGCGAUGCACAAAGCCAAGAGAUUAGCAGCUUGCUGGUUGUGGGGUACUGGGUGGGACAGAAACCCCAACAAGCAGGCCCCCUCAUGUUACAACAGAGGACAGUCUUUCUGCCUUACUAAGACGGAAGAAGCCUCACUCUCUUCAAGAUGGACUGUGGGCUCCCAGUGAGAGGAAAGCCCCCCAGCCAUCCCGCCGUCAGAGUGAACUGUCAAGAACAGACACAAAGGUUCUGCUGAGCUCUGAUCGCCUCCAAACUCAGCUAGGACAGUGACAACUGUCGUCGCUGAAACCCAUCAGAAGCUGACAAGCUACUCCUUCUAGUCGGGCAGCUAGCAGGUAGAGCAUGUCAUAAGAAAACCAACCUCGGCGGCAACAAAAGUGCACUGGUGAUAUUGUUCUUCCAUCCCAUGUAGGACCCUGAAAAGCAACCGUCGAACACAAUCGGCCUUCAAAUGCACUGCAGCAAUGUGACCAAGUUAGGGGCUGACAGCUGAUUAAACUAAGAUCGUUUUAAACUUCAACCAUGGAAACCAAAGCAAGGAAUCUCGAAGAAUGAUGUUAAACCCUUCUUCUUCUCGACCAGGGAUGUCUUAGAGGUCAGGGUCAAACAGAUCCUUGACCAAGCCAAACCCAAAGAAGAAUUGUAAGGCAAAAUGUCAACUCUUGCCCAAUGCUUGCUGCUAAAGAAAUUCUUCAAGACCCUGGAAUCUUAAGUAAUUUCUUUUCAACCCAUAGCAUGUGGCCUGCGUUUGCAAUCUAGAACUUAAAUUGGGUUCUUGCUUGUCGUCAGAAGAUCCCAACAAACAAGAGAGGUCAUAAAUAGACUGGGGGAACAACAGGGAACUGGAUAGUUUUAAUAUUUUUCCUCUAAAACGGAAAGGAAAGACACCAGCUGACACGGAUCUCUCAAAUCCGGCCAGCAACUUCUUGGACUAUGUCUAAUUGUGAUUUGCAUGGUGGGGUUUUAUUUGUUUUAUUGCCCAAAUUCUAAGGUUCCAAUUUCCCAGUCUAAUGCUAAACAGCUUGCUGGCACUCUGUGGCUAAGAGGGGUUCCACAGAGCCAGUGAAUUUUGGACUCGGGAAGAAAAAUGAAUCAAAUCAUCUCAUUUCAAUAAGCUAAGGCCAGAGAACUGAGGUGUCAAGAAGAGCUUUGAAGCUUCAGACUGUGGGUGGACCUGGCUCUCCUUCCUGCGUGUGCCAUCAGGACAGGGUUUCUUAACCUAGCCAUCUUAGUUUCUUCAAUUACAAAAUGAAGAUAAGAAUACAACCCUUUGGGUUAUUGAGGAGGGAUAUACAAAAGAAAAAUAUUUAGCUGCAUUCUUAUACAUACUUAAAAUGGUCAAUAAAUUAUUUUAUUGCUUUUUCAUCAGCAGUACCUGGCAUUUGCUGUUAGUAAGAAAGAUGGGUUUUAGUAUAGUUAUUAUAUUAGUACUAUUUUUACAGAUUGAGGUAGCAGAGGUUACUUAUUUAAAAAGUAGAUGUAGUAGUGCAUAUUUUUAAUCCCAGGAUGCAGAGGCAGGCAGAUCUCUGUGAGUUUCAGGCAAGCCACUGAGGACUUGUUUGGGAAAAAAAAAAGGAAGGCGAGAAAGAAAGAGGGGGAGAUAGAGGCUUAGAACCCCAUGAUCUAAAAUCUAAAUAAAUAACAUUUAAGUCAUCCAAAAUAUUAAUCCCAUUUAGGAUCACAGACUGAAUAUCCUUAGUCAGGAAUUUUUUGCAGAAGAGCCACAGUUUCCCAUUCUAGGCACUGAGUAUGCAUACAACCAAGAAACAAGCAUAUUCUUAUAGCUCCAACAGAGCUCUUGGAAAGACUGUAGCUGCUGUCACACAAACAUACAAGCCAGGAACUAUUGUAGCAGCUUCCUGAGUUGAAUGUGUGUGUGUGUGUGUGUGUGUGUGUGUGUGUGUGUAAAACGCAUAUCCACGUUUUGUGGAGUAACACUUAUACUAACUAUUUAUGGAUACAGGGAAGCUAGUUGGCUGCUCUGGAAAGCAUUGCAAAGGUUCCUGUUUCCUUGGACUUCCAUUUUUGUAGCUGUCAUUGCUUUUGAUCUGACGUCGGGGCACCCAAACUAUGAAGCACACAUGAACUGAAUGGCACAGUUCUGGUUACAAAGCAGCUCCAGAUCUACCAUGGCCAUGUGAGGAUGAUGCUACCAGUCUCAGGAUCUCACUCAGCAGCAUUGCAGGACUCACCUGAAUACACUUUGGGUCAUGUCUACUAAGAUGGGUACUUAGGAAGCAGAGUCACCUGGGAAACAGAAGCAAAGACAUCUGCUGAGACUGAGCACAAGGCUGCACACUAUAGAUGCAAGGCACACCUGGCCAGAAAGAAAUGCACAAGAGAAGCGCCGAGUCUCCUUGCCAAAGGAUGGCCUAGGCCUCGGUCUUGCCCAAGAAACAGGCUAGUUCCUUAGCCUCUGAUAACCUCAAGAAACUGAAGCCCUCAGGAUCCUUUAAGUGAUUCCAGGACAGAGGAUAUAGGAAGAUUCCAGGACAGGGGACCAGAAUGGCAACAGAUCCCUCCACAGUAACAGGAGUCCUUUAAAGACCUCCACCCAGAGGUACCAAAAGAUGAUUUUGAAGACUGACUUGCCCCGAUUAUUAAGACUCACAGUCUAAAAAAAAAAAAAAAAAAAAAAAAAAAAAAACCUCUUUGAACUGGUUUUGCAAACUUUCCUGCUUCUAGAUUUUUUUGUUUGUUUGCUUUUUGUUGUUGUUUUUUUUUAAAAAAGCCAACAAAAGAGAAAAUCAUAUUUCCCCAUGAAAGGUAGACUCCUGAUUGGCACUAAAAGUUCCUUGUCUUACGCCCACCAAGUGAUGGCUCAGUUUCCCCUGGAGGUUCAGGAACCACUCCUACACCAUGGGGCCAUCAAAUCCAUCACCUUCUGCUACAAGGAAGAAAAAAAUGAUCACAAACAUUCUUCCCUCUCCCCAACUCUGCUCGAGACCCUGUUUUGUUUGGUGUUACUAGAAUUCAGAAAACAUUCAUAGACUGUAUCACACCAUUUAAAAUUGUAUUGUCUUUUAUUUUCAA